CCCUGGGGAAAAACUAACAGGAUUCCCCUAGUAACUGCGAGUGAAGCGGGAAAAGCUCAAAUUUAAAAUCUGGUGGCCCUUGGCCAUCCGAGUUGUAAUUUAGAGAAGCGUCUUCCGCGCUGGUCUGUGCACAAGUCUCCUGGAAUGGAGCGUCAUAGAGGGUGAGAAUCCCGUCUUUGGCACGGAUGCUGGUGCUUCUGUGAUGCGCUCUCGAAGAGUCGAGUUGUUUGGGAAUGCAGCUCAAAAUGGGUGGUGAACUCCAUCUAAAGCUAAAUAUUGGCGAGAGACCGAUAGCGAACAAGUACCGUGAGGGAAAGAUGAAAAGCACUUUGGAAAGAGAGUGAAACAGUACGUGAAAUUGUUGAAAGGGAAACGCUUGAAGUCAGUCGCGUCGACCGAGACUCAGCCUUGCCUUGGCUUGGUGUACUUCUCGGCUCGACGGGCCAGCAUCAAUUUUGUCUCUCGGAUAAUGGCAGGGGAAAGGUGGCACCUUUACGGGUGUGUUAUAGUCUCUUGUCGCAUGCGAGGGGUGGGAUUGAGGAACUCAGCACGCACCUCGGUGUCGGGGCUUUUGCCCACGUAACGUGCUUAGGAUGCUGGCGUAAUGGCUUUAAACGACCCGUCUUGAAACACGGACCAAGGAGUCCAACACGCACGCGAGUGUUCGGGUGGAAAACCCGUGCGCGUAAUGAAAGUGAAAGUUGGGACCUCUGUCGUGGAGGGCACCGACGCCCGGACCAGACCUUCUGUGACGGAUCUGCGGUGGAGCGUGUCUGUUGGGACCCGAAAGAUGGUGAACUAUGCCUGAAUAGGGUGAAGCCAGAGGAAACUCUGGUGGAGGCUCGUAGCGAUUCUGACGUGCAAAUCGAUCGUCAAAUUUGGGUAUAGGGGCGAAAGACUAAUCGAACCAUCUAGUAGCUGGUUCCUGCCGAGUUUUCCCCCUCAGGGAA
RNAcentral lists this ribosomal RNA (950 nucleotides) under Lactarius subdulcis. RNAcentral's name for it is "partial large subunit ribosomal RNA". It matches the Rfam family "Eukaryotic large subunit ribosomal RNA", at positions 49 to 980 of the family's 3401-position model. Lineage: Eukaryota; Fungi; Basidiomycota; Agaricomycetes; Russulales; Russulaceae. The record is from RNAcentral.